Pseudopodoces humilis (Tibetan ground-tit) is the source of this 2051-nucleotide long non-coding RNA. RefSeq lists it as uncharacterized. The record is from RefSeq and is a predicted model, not a curated record. NCBI's taxonomy places the organism in Eukaryota, Metazoa, Chordata, Aves, Passeriformes, Paridae.
UAACGUUAUCCCAACGUUGCCAGCAUUCCAGCUCCAACGUUUCUCAUCCAAGAAUCUCCCAGCGCUUUUCCAAAUGUGAAUUCAUUUCCUCUCGGUCCGGGGAGGCACCUUUUAUCAUCAGCAUCCUCAUUUCCCCGGGGAGGCGUCCUCGGAGCGUUUCAUCCCGCCGAUUCGGGAAAAAACUGGAGCUGUUUUUGGGAUUGAUCCAACAAUUCCCGCCUCCCGUUUUCCCAGCUUUGCUGCCCGACCACAUUCCCGGCCUGGGAGUGGGGUGUGACACUCGGCUCCUUUAUUGGUGGCGCUUAAAAAAAUCCAGACAACCUUCAUGAACCCCACCCAGGGCAGGGGAGGAAAGGAAACUUCCAAAUCAGGAUGGUCCCGGCCGGGAAUCCAGGAAUUUUCAGGAUUUUGGAUGUGCAGGAUGAAAUCUGGACCAGAUGUUGAGUCAGAAUCUUGGAAUUUUUAUAUAAAAUAUGAUUAAAAGGGAAAUAUUUCCUGGAACGCAGCAGAGGUGAAGGUCUGAGCUGAAGGAAAGGAAACUCUUCCAAAUCAGGAUGAUCCCAGCCAGGAAUCCAUGAAUUUUCAGGAUUUUGGAUAUGCAGGAUGAAAUUUUGAUGUGAUGUUGAGUCAGAAUCUCAUAAUUCUUAUUUAAAAUACGAUUAAAAUGGAAAUAUUUUCUCAAAUAUUCUUCUUCCUUCUCGUGCUGCAUCCGCAGGUGAAGAUCUGAGCUGAAGGAAAUGAAACUCUUCCAAAUCAGGACGAUCCCAGCCAGAAAUCCACCGAUUCUUGGGGUUUUUGAUGUGCAGGCAGAAAUCUUGACAGGAUGUUGAGUCAGAAUCUUGGAAUUUUUAUUUAAAACACGAUUAAAAUGGAAAUAUUUCCUGGAAUGAAGCAGAGGUGAAGUUCACAACUUCUCCCAAAAGUCCCCUCCCCAGUCCAGAGGGGAGUGAGCGUCGAGCCGAAACGAAAAGAGGAUUUGGAGCCAGCGUGACGUGACGGCAGCUUGGAACAACGAGGAGUUCCAAAAUAGCGCUAUUGACUGCUGGAAAAACAACAUCCAUAUAAUUUGCAGCUUUUUGGCCAAUCUGAAGCUUCUGGAGGAGCUGAUAUUUUAUCUUUUGCCUGGCUUUGAAUUCCUCAGCUCCUCAGGACCUGCCCUGGUUGUUUUUUACUCUUCCUCCUUGUGCUGCGUCCACAAAUGAUGAAAAUUGGUGCUAAUGACCAAAAAAAACCCCCAAAAAAAUCCCAAUGGUGAUUCAUGGAAAUGGAAUUUUGUUGACAAAAAGAAAAGUGGAUUUAACUCAGCCAAAGGAAAUGCUUUUCCAACUGGGGAGGAAUAUCUGAGGAACGACCAUUUCUUCUCCGAGACAGAACUGUCCCAGCUUGAAUUCACAAAAUAAACGGAAUAAUUCAAAUGAGAGCCUGGAGAAAAGCGACCAGAUCCACCCAAAACGGGCGCUUUUGCCAGGGAAAAGACCCAAAAGUGGAUUUUGGGUGGGUGAAAUGAAGGAUGGAAUUCUGACAUUCCAGGAUGGAAUUCUGACAUUCCAGGCUGGGAAUUCUGACAUUCCAGGAUGGGAAUUCUGACAUUCCAGGAUGGAAUUCUGUCAUUCCAGGCUGGGAAUUCUGACAUUCCAGGAUGGGAAUUCUGACAUUCCAGGAUGGAAUUCUGACAUUCCAGGAUGGGAAUUCUGACAUUCCAGGAUGGAAUUCUGACAUUCCAGGCUGGGAAUUCUGACAUUCCAGGAUGGAAUUCUGACAUUCCAGGAUGGGAAUUCUGACAUUCCAGGAUGGAAUUCUGACAUUCCAGGCUGGGAAUUCUGACAUUCCAGGAUGGAAUUCUGACAUUCCAGGAUGGGAAUUCUGACAUUCCAGGAUGGAAUUCUGACAUUCCAGGCUGGGAAUUCUGACAUUCCAGGAUGGAAUUCUGACAUUCCAGGAUGGGAAUCUGGGCUUGGAAUUUUGUCAUUUCCACAGCACAGGCAGGAAAGUUUAUUUUCUAAGCAGCAGCCCUCGUUUGGGCUCGGUUUGGGAGAGAAUGGGAACUUUAA